AUGCAACAGACCAUGGCAACGAGGGCAAGAUACCUCCUUCCACCCACCGUCCACAUCGGAACCUCCAUCGUCGGCCGUGGCGGGUUGUCUAGGGUUUGGCUGCCCAUCCCGAACAUGGAGGAUGUGUGCAUCCAAGAUCUCGGCCGAUGGGCGCUGGCACAAUACGCGGGCCUGACGGGGCACACUGGGCUGCGGUUUUGCCGAGUGACCGGGGGAGAACAACAAGUAAUUUCUGGGGUGAAAUACCGCCUCGUCGUGGACGCGGCGAAUAACUACGGCAAGACCAUGCAUUUUCUCGCGGUGGUAUGCGAGAAGCCCUGGACCAAUACUCGCCGGCUCACCUCCUUCGGGCUGGCGGCCUGCACCUAG
This 369-nucleotide ribosomal RNA is filed under the name Triticum aestivum (bread wheat). Its description in RNAcentral is "partial small subunit ribosomal RNA". The record is from RNAcentral. Lineage: Eukaryota; Viridiplantae; Streptophyta; Magnoliopsida; Poales; Poaceae.